GGUGUGAUGGAGUUUAGACGUGUUCUCUAUGAUGAUUUUGGCAGUUACAACAAUCAAUCUUCAAAUUUUGGACCCAUGAAAGGAGGAAAUUUUGGAGGCAGAAGCUCUUGUCCCUAUGGUGGUGGAGGCCAAUACUUUGCCAAACCAUGAAACCAAGGUGGCUGUGGCGGUUCCAGCAGCAGCAGUAGCUAUAGCAGUGGCAGAAGAUUUUAAUUACUGCCAGGAAACAAAGCUUAGCAGGAGAGGAGAGCCAGAGAAGUGACAGGGAAGCUACAGGUUACAACA
Molecule: long non-coding RNA, 285 nt
Organism: Lynx canadensis (Canada lynx)
Lineage: Eukaryota; Metazoa; Chordata; Mammalia; Carnivora; Felidae
Exons: 3
Source: RefSeq, a predicted model, not a curated record